GGAUGCCGGCGUCGGGGCCGGCUGAAGCGAAGCGAGGCGGCGCGGCAGGUGCGCCGCUGUCUCGGCUGGGCCGGGCCGAGCCGGGUGCCUGGGCCAGACUCAAAGCGAGCCUGGGUCGUCGGGCCCAGGCGGUCGUCGGGAGCGCAGGCUCCCGCUCCUCGUCCACUCGAGUCUCUCUCUCCCUCCCUUCCUUCCGCAUGUGUUCGUACGGUCAGCGGAGGCGACGCUGGCGCGCGCCAUGGUCGCAGCUCGCCGUGCUGUCGGUCGGCCCGCGGUGGCGUCCCCUCGCUCGGUGGCCGGCGUCGGCGUGAGGAGGGGGCCGCUAGUUUUGGGUCGUCCGUCGGUCGGGAGCCGCGGGUCGGUCGCGGAAGUGCCCCCGGAAGGGGUCCGCGUGGAGCGGCCCCGGCCCCCCCGCGCACGCGGGGCAGUGCCGAAAAGGCAGACAACUCUUAGCGGUGGAUCACUCGGCUCGUGCGUCAAUGAAGAACGCAGCUAGCUGCGAGAAUUAAUGUGAAUUGCAGGACACAUUGAUCAUUGACACUUAGAACGCACUUUGCGGCCCUGGGUUCCUCCCGGGGCUACGCCUGCCUGAGCGUUGCUCGAUGGUCAAUCGCCAGUGCCGCCGCCGCGGGGUGGCAGCGCAGCGCGGCUGGGGUGCCUCGCAGGCCUGCGCCGCGGCCGGGCGGCAGGCCUCCGGCGGGCAGGUGGCCCGCGGCCGCGCGAGCGUGCGGCGGGUGUUAGAGCCGCCGGGCCCGGACGCGUCGCCGAAUCCCGGGGCCGAGGGAGAAGGACCGCCGCCGCGCCCUCCGCGCCCCGCGCCCGCCUAUGGGCCGGGCCGGGGAGGCGCGCGCGGGCCGAGGAAAAUGGGGGGGGAAAAGGGGAGAGCGGCGCGUGGUCGCCGCGCACGGGCUUGUGCCGGCCCCCCUCCCUCCGUUCUUUCGUCAGUUCCCGCGGGUGGACGACGACGACGCGGUCGCUUUUCUGUCCGUCUUUUUUCCCUCCCGCCUGCCCGGCACUCUCGCCGCUUCGCCCGGGGUCCGCGGGGCCCCCGGGGGGGAGGCCCGGGCGUUAAGGGGAAGGGGGGAAGAGGCGCGCGGAAGGCUCGCGCGGUCCCGCUUCCCCGCGCCCCGCGGCGCGGGAGAUCGUCGCUCUCCCGUCUCCCUUCCCCGCUUUCCUCCCUCCCCCCCUUCCCCAUCCGGGUUGACCUGGCGGCUCCGGCCGGUCGGACACGCGCCCACCCCCCGCAUUCCCCCACGGGCUUAGCGCCAAUGUCUCGGGUAGACCUGGCGGCCUUUGGGGAGCCGGAGGGACGACUAGGCGAGCGCCAGACCCGGCAGCCGCUUCACCCGGCGGCAGCCCCCUCGUCGGGGGCUCGCCACGGGGGAGGGGGGGGGGAGGGACCGUCAGGUAGACGUGGCGGCCCCGUUCGACGGAGGCGCGCGCGUCCCCGUUCGCGACCUCGAUCGUGGGUCCGCCCGGUCCUUUCCGAGCGGCGGGUAGACCUGGCCACCCUAACGGGGCUGAGGGGGGGGCUGGUAGACCUGGCGGUCCCCGUCGGAGCGAGGCGCGCGUCCGCGUCUCGCACGGCGGGUGCGCCCGAUCGUUUCCGAGCGGCGGGUAGACCUAGAGGCCUUUGGGGAGCCCGAGGGACGACUACGCAAGCGCACGGAGUCAACGGGGUGGGUUCUCCGGGAUGCACGUGGACCCGCCGGGAUUCACCGGGGCGGCUCCUCGAGGGUGCCUGGGGUCCCGCUGGGAGUCACCGGGGUGGGUCCGCAGAGGUCCACGUGGACCUGCUGGGAUUCACCAGAGUGGGUCCUCCGGAGUGCCUGUGGACGCGCCGGGAGUCAGCGGGGUGGGUCCUCGGGGGUGCCCGUGGACUCUCUGGGAGUCAGCAGGGUGGGUCCUUGGGGAUGCCCGUGAAUCCGCUGGGAGUAACCGGGGUGGGUCCUCGGGGGUGCCCGUGGACCCACUGGGAGACACCGGGGUGGGUCCUCGGUGGUGGCUGGGGUCCCGCCGGGAGUCACCGGGUUGGGUCCUCAGGGGUGCGUGAGUCCCACUGGCAGUCACCGGGGUGGGUCCUCGGGGGUGCCCGGGGUCCCG
This 2103-nucleotide long non-coding RNA is filed under the name Anser cygnoides (Swan goose). RNAcentral describes it as "lncRNA (ENSACDG00005012568.1)". The stretch from base 445 to 598 matches the Rfam family "5.8S ribosomal RNA". Lineage: Eukaryota; Metazoa; Chordata; Aves; Anseriformes; Anatidae. The record is from RNAcentral.